RNAcentral lists this ribosomal RNA (459 nucleotides) under uncultured Glomus. Its description in RNAcentral is "SSU rRNA". It matches the Rfam family "Eukaryotic small subunit ribosomal RNA", at positions 625 to 1079 of the family's 1831-position model. The record is from RNAcentral. Lineage: Eukaryota; Fungi; Glomeromycota; Glomeromycetes; Glomerales; Glomeraceae.
AGCUCGUAGUUGAAUUUCGGGAUUGACACAUCGGUCGUGCCUUAAGGGGUAUGAACUGGUGUAGUCAAUUUCUCACCUUCUGGAGAACCGCGAUGCCCUUAAUUGGGUGUCGCGGGGAACCAGGACCUUUACUUUGAAAAAAUUAGAGUGUUUAAAGCAGGCAUUUUGCUUGAAUACAUUAGCAUGGAAUAAUAAAAUAGGACGGCAUGAUUCUAUUUUGUUGGUUUCUAGGAUCACCGUAAUGAUUAAUAGGGAUAGUUGGGGGCAUUAGUAUUCAAUUGUCAGAGGUGAAAUUCUUGGAUUUAUUGAAGACUAACUACUGCGAAAGCAUUUGCCAAGGAUGUUUUCAUUAAUCAAGAACGAAAGUUAGGGGAUCGAAGACGAUCAGAUACCGUCGUAGUCUUAACCAUAAACUAUGCCGACUAGGAAUCAGACGAUGUUAAUUUUUUAAUGACUCGU